This 497-nucleotide ribosomal RNA is filed under the name uncultured bacterium. RNAcentral describes it as "partial 16S ribosomal RNA". It matches the Rfam family "Bacterial small subunit ribosomal RNA", at positions 28 to 507 of the family's 1533-position model. The record is from RNAcentral.
GAUGAACGCUGGCGGCGUGCCUAAUACAUGCAAGUCGAGCGAACGGACGAGAAGCUUGCUUCUCUGAUGUUAGCGGCGGACGGGUGAGUAACACGUGGAUAACCUACCUAUAAGACUGGGAUAACUUCGGGAAACCGGAGCUAAUACCGGAUGAUAUUUUGAACCGCAUGGUUCAAAAGUGAAAGACGGUCUUGCUGUCACUUAUAGAUGGAUCCGCGCUGCAUUAGCUAGUUGGUAAGGUAACGGCUUACCAAGGCAACGAUGCAUAGCCGACCUGAGAGGGUGAUCGACCACACUGGAACUGAGACACGGUCCAGACUCCGACGGGAGGCAGCAGUAGGGAAGCUUCCGCAAUGGGCGAAAGCCUGACGGAGCAACGCCGCGUGAGUGAUGAAGGUCUUCGGAUCGUAAAACUCUGUUAUUAGGGAAGAACAUAUGUGUAAGUAACUGUGCACAUCUUGACGGUACCUAAUCAGAAAGCCACGGCUAACUACGUG